AUAUAAGCGAUGAUAAGAACAAGUAGUAGUUAAAGGAAAAGUAUACAGAAAGUAACCGGUUGAUGAGAGGUGCAUACUUAUUUGAUUGCGAAUACAUCUUUGAGCUUCGCACUGAAGAGCCUUGGCUUGGUAGGAUGUGACGUAUUCACACGUUAUAGUGACAGAGUAUUCCAAUGAGUACUUGCAGAGGUGAGUAAUGUGAAUUACUCAUAAAUUAAGGUGGUAACGCGAGAUAGCUCUCGUCCUUUUG
This 250-nucleotide non-coding RNA is filed under the name Terrisporobacter sp. RNAcentral describes it as "T-box sequence". It matches the Rfam family "T-box leader". Rfam says of the family: Uncharged tRNA acts as the effector for transcription antitermination of genes in the T-box leader family. T-boxes are found upstream of many aminoacyl-tRNA synthetase genes and some amino acid biosynthetic genes usually in Gram-positive bacteria. The anticodon of a specific tRNA base pairs to a specifier sequence within the T-box motif, and the NCCA acceptor tail of the tRNA base pairs to a conserved bulge in the T-box antiterminator hairpin. Lineage: Bacteria; Bacillati; Bacillota; Clostridia; Peptostreptococcales; Peptostreptococcaceae. The record is from RNAcentral.